Molecule: ribosomal RNA, 913 nt
Filed under: uncultured marine archaeon
Lineage: Archaea
Description: bacterial SSU rRNA
Rfam family: Archaeal small subunit ribosomal RNA
Source: RNAcentral
UUCCGGUUGAUCCCGCCGGACCUGACUGCUAUCGGAUUGAUACUAAGCCAUGCGAGUCUUUGCAGUAAUGCAAGGCAUACGGCUCAGUAACACGUAGUCAACUUACCCUAUGGACGAGGAUAAUCUCGGGAAACUGAGCAUAAUACUCGAUAGAUCAUAAUGCCUGGAAUGGUUUAUGGUUAAAAUGAUUCGUCGCCAUAGGAUGGGACUGCGGCCUAUCAGCUUGUUGGUGAGGUAAUGGCCCACCAAGGCGAUUACAGGUACGGGCUCUGAGAGGAGAAGCCCGGAGAUGGGUACUGAGACAAGGACCCAGGCCCUAUGGGGCGCAGCAGGCGAGAAAACUUUGCAAUGUGCGAAAGCACGACAAGGUUAAUCCGAGUGAUUUCUGCUAAAGAAAUCUUUUGCAAGUCAUAAAACCACUAGUGAAUAAGGGGUGGGCAAGUUCUGGUGUCAGCCGCCGCGGUAAAACCAGCACCUCAAGUGGUCAGGAGGAUUAUUGGGCCUAAAGCAUCCGUAGCCGGCUCUGUAAGUUUUCGGUUAAAUCCAUGUGCUCAACGCAUGGGCUGCCGAAAAUACUGCAUAGCUAGGGAGUGGGAGAGGUAGACGGUACUCGGUAGGAAGGGGUAAAAUCCUUUGAUCUAUCGAUGACCACCUGUGGCGAAGGCGGUCUACCAGAACACGUUCGACGGUGAGGGAUGAAAGCUGGGGGAGCAAACCGGAUUAGAUACCCGGGUAGUCCCAGCUGUAAACGAUGCAGACUCGAUGAUGCAUUGGCAUAUAGCCAGUGCAGUGUCGCAGGGAAGCCGUUAAGUCUGCCGCCUGGGAAGUACGUACGCAAGUAUGAAACUUAAAGGAAUUGGCGGGGGAGCACCACAAGGGGUGAAGCCUGCGGUUCAAUUGGAGUCAACGCCGG